UAACACUAGUAAAAUUAUAAUUAAGCACAUUUUCUACUAGCAAUUUAGUUAGCAAAUUUACAACUAACUUCUACCUCUCUACAUGGAUUCUAAGCCUGCAAAAUAUUAAGAGUCCUGGCAACUGGAACAUAUACUACGUUACCAAAAUCAUAAGAAGCAAGGAGCUGGUGAGAUGUUUAUCUGACAGUCUCCUUCAACAUAAAUUGCAGCCACCUGACCCAUAAUCGGAUGUUCAUCAGUAAAGAGCAUAUGAAACCUGUUUCAUCCAGUCGAUUGCAUUGUGCUGCCGUGAUCAAUAACAUUUCUGCGUUUCAAAUAUAAUAUGAAGACAUAUCAGACUUGUUUUCAUAAGUUAUUUGUCUUAUAUUGUCUUGUGUUUACUGAUUUUUAAAUAACGCCACUUGGCGGAUCGAUGCACAUUCUUCAAUGUUGUCAAUGAUGAUGUAAUACUACAAAUUUUUAGAAUGCAUAAUGGAGGUAAUAUAGUAAAUUACUAGUUAUGCAUUAAAAAAAAACAAUAUGCUAUUGACUACUUUGUACAAAAACCAACUUACUAUUAUUGCAGGAGCUCUGAUACUGUAGUAAAUAUUGCUUGUAACAUUUUAGAACAUUUUAUUCACAGCUUUGAAAGUUAUUUACAUUAUGCAAAUAAGUAAGAACAAUGUCAUUAUAUUUUAAAGAAUACAAUGGAACUUGAAUAAUUUAAAACUGAAGGGACCUAAAGAUUUGAAUUAUCCAAGAUUUUGAACUAUAAAGGUUACAUUGGGAACACACACAACAGAACACAUAGUAAUAAGGGAUACAUUUCACACACGUCUUAAAUACAUGUAUUAUAGUUUUCGUUGUAUACUUUUUAUCAUUAAUAAAAUCAAUGAAAAUUUGUACGAUUUUCGUUUGCUCAUUACGAUUAAAUCUUUUGUUAGAACAAGACUGAACCAGGUUAAUAAGACAUUUUAAAAGCACACCAAUUAUAUUUUGUUAUCAUUCAAAACAGCACCUCAGUUCUCUGUUGUAAUCCACUAACUGAGCCAGGACAAAAAUCAAGGAAUCGAUUCAUGUGGCAAGUAAAUAUUCUUUGUCCUCUUUAUUGGAAAAUUCAACUGUCUGGGCGUUUAAACAUUGGCCAAAAUGACGGUAUUGAUUACCUCUCCACACAUUUCCACGGCACUAUGAUAUACUCGUAGUUGUUAUACACAACUUUACUGUUCUUAUUAAUGUUUUCCAAAUACUCAGGAAUAGUCUCAAGUUCAGUUCUUGGAGGUUUUCAAGAGCAACCUGGCAGAAACUGACUUUAAGGAAACAGUUUGCAGUUGUCAGCUGCUUAACUUGGUUUCAAGCACUGUAACUCAAAUGGGCUGCUUGGAGUGUAUAAAUCUUCACUUUCUAUUUUUUGUCUAAAAAUACACCUAAAAGUAAAAUUUGCAAAAGUUAUGCUUAACAUUUUAUGAUUGCCUGAGUUUAAUAAGUUGAGCUUCAGAGGUCAUGUAUGUAGGAAAAAGAAACUUUUGACAUUUUUUAAUAAGGAAAUACUGUUAUCUUAGCUCUUAGUCCUAUGCAAGUGGUGUAAUAACUGUCAUCUAAGUUUUCCGAUUUACACAAUCUUGAAACUUUGCUUUUACAAUUAAAUUGUUAAAUAUUUCGACCUAGCUUUGGAGAGCCAUCUACAGUCGAAAUAUAUUCAACCAACACUGCCAAUAAUACACAUCUACCUGUACAGGUGAUUAGAAAGGGGUGGAGCUUUAUUGUGAUUGGCUGAAGAACCACAAUGAACAACUAUGAUCAAUAUGGCUUACUAGACUCUCUAGUAAGCAGAUUCGUUAAUCACUGCAAAUAAUCUAAAGUCAUACUCAGAAGAAAAAUAUCGCUACUGAAAACAAACUUGCAACAUUAUUACAAUGUCUUACAUUACGUCCAUGAAGAAAAUAUUCCUUCAGCCCAAACAGCUCAAUUUUCAGGUGAGCCCCUCUUUGGAAGACUUCCUCUUAGGAAACCAAAAUUUCCUUUUAUUUUAAUCUCGGCUCAUUCAAAAAUUGGUAAUGUGUGGAGUCUUUCCAUUACACUUAACCCUUUGCAUUCAAAUUUUUUUCACCUGUCUGCCCCCUUAGCUCAUAUUUAUUUUUGUAUAUUUAUUGUAAAUAACAGCCCUCUAGUGAAUAAUUAGUUCUAUAUACAUACACUUAUGUUUAAUUCUUUAAAAUUCUUAAUACCAAUUUAUUGUUCCACAAUAUAAAAAAAACAGACUCUCAUUAAAAAGUUUUCUAAUUCACCAUUGUAUGAUAUCCCUAAAAAAAUCUGUCCCUCAAAAAUACAUUUACAAAAAUAGGUUGGUGAUAAAUUAUUAUUCGGAAAAAAAAAUUCUGUAAGAUGGAUUUGGAUUCAGUGCCAUGUUUAGGUUUAAAACCUAAGAAAACCUUUAUUUCCUCUAGGGAAACAUUUUUCCAAGUGGACCAGAUAGAUUUAGACAUAAGUGGUCUUUGCUUGUUUAUUUUUCUUCUGCAUAACGAUCAGUUUCAGCAACAAUUUUAUUUAGUAUUUCAAAUGUAUAAAAACAAAUGAAAAAGUUUGAAAUAUUCACAAGUUUGCUUCGAUUAGGUUCAUUAUACCCACCUGCUAAAGUAUAAGGAAAAUCAGGCCCAUCAUAAACAGUCCAACAGUUAUCAAAUCCAUCUCCAUAGCCACCAUUAUUUGAGGUUGGGCAUAGGCCUUCAUCACUUUCACUACCCGACACAUUUUCUAAUGUUGGCAGGACGAGUUUUCACCAUCACUAUGUUCACUUUCGUCAUUAUUCGAUUUGUAAUCGUUCUCAGUAUUAACCUCGGAAUUGGAAAGAGACUAACUGCCCGGUAACAACACAUUCAGUUGAUGAGAAUACAAAUGAGGUUAACACAUCGACUAAUAAAAACAGAAACAACAGCAGAUAAUGAUUGUUUUUGUUCAGCUGUUAGUAUUAGUUCUUAAGACUGCCGUGCGAUCGUGGCACCAAUCGAAGACAUCGCGGACCAGCCACAAAACUGACGUUAUCACGAUGUCAGAUACUGUUCGGCAUACAAGUGGAACAACGAAAUUACAAUGUCGGAUGAAGUCCGACAAACAAGUUGUAAGGGUUAAUAAACAUGAAUUUAGGUAUAAGGCAAUCCCAACUUUAAAGUCACUUGUCUGUAUAAACAUACACAUGUUUUUGCCACCCAGAAUUUAAAGAGCAAUUUUGCAUCCUUAGUAAGUUUGCUUGCUAUGCCAACUGUUGCUAGGUUGGUACACAGAUGAGACAUGACAUCACAUAACACCAAACUGUCAAGAAAUAUUAAUGUAAUUUUUAAGAGAAAGGAGAUAAGACUUACAUUUUGAGGAGGAGGGAUGAGCUGACCACAGAGACCGAACUGAGAGCCAUUGCUGCAGACGCCAUCCAUGGCUGCAAACAAGUAUCAUCGUUAAACUUGCAUUUUUAUACUUUUUGAGAAAUUACAGAUAAUUUAAAAAUUUUAAACUUGUACUCAUCACUCUUUGAAUAGCAUCAGAGAAUUUAGAAGUUCACUGGAUAUAGCCUCUAAUUUUUUGUGUUACUAGAGACUUAACAAGACAAAGAGGUGUAAACAGACGCAACACAAAACAUGCAGGCAAGUUCCACCUUCCUGCUCACAGAACAGCCACCUAUGCAAUAAAAAACAUAUUAUGUCGGAAUCAAGAAGUAGAAUGCACUGCCUGAAGACUUGAAGAGCUAUAGCCCACACAACCUGAAGAAGGAACUCCGAACUUGGCUUCAGGAAAGUGUCUUCUACAGCCUGGAGGAAUUCUUCAAUUGAAGGACUAUGCACAAGGACCCAACUCUUAAAGAAGACCUUAUUAUCUCUGUAUAUUAAAUUUAACUAACUUUUAAGAAGGAAACUGACAUGUAUUCUAAUCUUGAUGAUUAUGAAUAAAGAAUUUCUGAUUUCUGGAUUGAAGUUGUACCUGGGAAUAAAAGAGGCUCUCUUAGAAGUUGGAUUAAUGAAAAUUUCAGAGCACAUGAGUGCAGGAUGACUACAGCAGGGAUGACAGACUGGCUUAAAACAAGGAAGUAAUUAUCGCCAGUUUUGAAGUGAAUUUCAAGGAAUGCAAAGGGACAUCAAAGACAACAAACAGAAUAUCUACAUAUUUACAAUGAACCAACCUAUAAACAAAAUUAAAACUAUCAGGGUGUAAGCUGUUUUUAUUAAAAGGAGAAGUCUCAAGGUUUACAUGAUUUUCGAUUGGUAGAAACAGCACACUUCAUCGUUCAUUGUGAAAGUCUACACGGCAGAAGUCCUUUGUAUUCUGUAUGAUUGUACUUAGUAUGAAGUAUGAUUCAAUGAUAAGUUUCACCAAUCCUCUUCCUGCUCAGAGAAUCAGGCGAUUGUAUGAACAAUUUCGCAAAGAAGAAAUCCACUGGUCAUCUCUGUUUAUCAGAAAAUAAGCCAAUAGAGCCACUAAAAUUCGAAUUGUUGUGGCAGCACGUAACUGAAGAAUUCUAUGCAUGUCUGAUGAUUUUUCAUGAAAUCGUAUAAGAUACAAUAACUGGAGGCACUUCAUACAGAUGACAAAUUUAUAAUGAUGUGUGGAGCUGUGUGAAUUCACCCACAGCAAGAGGAAAAUAUCACAAAGUAUUUAGAAAUGUUAGUGAUGAAACUACUACUAAUAAUAAUAAUAAUAAUUUUAUUGUUUUCGAACAUUUACAUGUUAUAGCAAUUGUCAAGGAAGAAAAUAGGCUGAUUUUGGAUUCAUAAAUGACAUCUGGGUUACUUUCAUACAUACAAUUUGUUCCAUCCAUCCAACUGCUCAUUCAUUUGAAUUUCCCACUCUAGCAUCAGCCAAUCAUGUGGUCACCCAAACAUGUGCCAUGAACUCGUCUGUACUGUAAAAAGCUUCUGA
This 4884-nucleotide long non-coding RNA is filed under the name Homalodisca vitripennis (glassy-winged sharpshooter). RNAcentral's name for it is "uncharacterized LOC124369934". Lineage: Eukaryota; Metazoa; Arthropoda; Insecta; Hemiptera; Cicadellidae. The record is from RNAcentral.